RNAcentral lists this non-coding RNA (200 nucleotides) under Beijerinckia indica. RNAcentral also lists the same sequence under 1 other name. Lineage: Bacteria; Pseudomonadati; Pseudomonadota; Alphaproteobacteria; Hyphomicrobiales; Beijerinckiaceae. The record is from RNAcentral.
UUCUUAUUUAAACGCGAUGGUUCCCCAAAAGGGAUCAAAAGGGAAUGUGGUUAGCGCACUCCGCGCGAUGCCGCAGCUGCCCCCGCAACUGUAUAUGGCGAGCCGAGGACCAACCAAGCCACUGGAGCUGAUGUCUCUGGGAAGGCGGUUCGAGGUGAUGACCCAUGAGCCAGGAGACCUGCCAUCAUUCGUGGUCACGC